This 335-nucleotide unclassified non-coding RNA is filed under the name soil metagenome. Its description in RNAcentral is "partial contains 5.8S ribosomal RNA, internal transcribed spacer 2, and large subunit ribosomal RNA". The stretch from base 1 to 120 matches the Rfam family "5.8S ribosomal RNA", at positions 35 to 154 of the family's 154-position model. The record is from RNAcentral.
GAUGAAGAACGUGGCGAAAUGCGAUAAGUAAUGUGAAUUGCAGAAUUCAGUGAAUCAUCGAAUCUUUGAACGCACAUUGCGCCCGCCAGUAUUCUGGCGGGCAUGCCUGUUCGAGCGUCAUUUCAACCAUCAAGCCCCCGGGCUUGUGUUGGGGACCUGCGGCUGCCGCAGGCCCUGAAAACCAGUGGCGGGCUCGCUAGUCACUCCGAGCGUAGUAGUUACAUCUCGCUCAGGGCGUGCUGCGGGUUCCGGCCGUUAAAAGCCUUUUACCCCAAGGUUGACCUCGGAUCAGGUAGGAAGACCCGCUGAACUUAAGGAUAUCAAUAAGCGGAGGA